CCUACGGGUGGCAGCAGUGAGGAAUAUUGGUCAAUGGGCGGAAGCCUGAACCAGCCAAGUAGCGUGCAGGAUGACGGCCCUACGGGUUGUAAACUGCUUUUAUACGGGAAUAACGCGCCUUACGUGUAGGGCUUUGCAUGUACCGUAUGAAUAAGGACCGGCUAAUUCCGUGCCAGCAGCCGCGGUAAUACGGAAGGUCCGGGCGUUAUCCGGAUUUAUUGGGUUUAAAGGGAGCGUAGGCCGCAUGUCAAGCGUGCGGUGAAAUGUCCGGGCUCAACCCGGGCCUUGCAGCGCGAACUGGCGUGAUGGAGUCCGCGGAAGGCAGGGGGAAUUGGGCGUGGAGCGGUGAAAUGCUUAGAUAUGACGAAGAACCACGAUUGCGAAGGCAGCUUGCGGCAGCGGAACGGACGCUGAUGCUCGAAAGCGCGGGUAUCGAACAGGAUUAGAUACCCUUGUAGUC
This 460-nucleotide ribosomal RNA is filed under the name uncultured bacterium. Its description in RNAcentral is "partial 16S ribosomal RNA". It matches the Rfam family "Bacterial small subunit ribosomal RNA", at positions 338 to 795 of the family's 1533-position model. The record is from RNAcentral.